UACGGAAGGCAGCAGUGGGGAAUAUUGCACAAUGGGCGAAAGCCUGAUGCAGCUAUGCCGCGUGUAUGAAGAAGGCCUUCGGGUUGUAAAGUACUUUCAGUCGUGAGGAAGGUGUUAAGGUUAAUAACCUUAGCAAUUGACGUUAGCGACAGAAGAAGCACCGGCUAACUCCGUGCCAGCAGCCGCGGUAAUACGGAGGGUGCGAGCGUUAAUCGGAAUUACUGGGCGUAAAGGGCACGCAGGCGGUUAAUUAAGUUGGAUGUGAAAUCCCCGGGCUUAACCUGGGAAUGGCAUUCAAGACUGGUUAGCUAGAGUCUUGUAGAGGGGGUAGAAUUCCAUGUGUAGCGGUGAAAUGCGUAGAGAUGUGGAGGAAUACCGGUGGCGAAGGCGGCCCCUGGGACAAAGGACUGACGCUCAUGUGCGAAAGCGUGGGGAGCAAACAGGGAUUAGAUACC
This 455-nucleotide ribosomal RNA is filed under the name uncultured bacterium. Its description in RNAcentral is "bacterial SSU rRNA". It matches the Rfam family "Bacterial small subunit ribosomal RNA", at positions 340 to 786 of the family's 1533-position model. The record is from RNAcentral.